ACAAGGGAGGCAGAUCUGAGGUAGCGUCGUUGGGGUACACUGCUCUGCCACACCCACCGGCUCACAGACAGGCUCCAGCAGAAAACAGACACGCUUCAGGGUCAGACUGCUGUGAACUUGGUCAAUUAUCUCAUAAAGCUCACGCAAGUAGAGCUAAGGGCUCUUGAAGUUAUGAAACAAAAUAACUGGAGAUCUUUGUGAGACUGUGGAAGAAAAAAGUUCUACCAUCGUCCCGAAGGCGGUACAGCUCAUGCUUCUACAUGCUGAGACUCGACUGACUGGAGAGGCACCCUCUGGACAUUGCAAUGUCAGCAUCAAGCGCUGCAAGUGCAAGACUCUCAGCAAAUCUUCCCUUUGCACUUUGCAGACCACACGCGGCCCAGUACCGAGACGAUCACACAUCUUUGCCAAACAGCCAUGCUUCCACUUAGGAAAAAAGAAAAAAGAGAAAAAUACAGAUGCCUCACAGAGCAUGCACUCCUCACCCAGAGGAAUGAGAAAAGCCUGAGCCACGGCCUCAGUAAAACCGACUCAUGGGUAAAAUCAAAAUGCAGAAACCAAUUGUUGGCUUUUUGUCAUGUUUGUGCUGCAUGUUACAUCCACUUUAAGUGGGAUGACA
Long non-coding RNA from Gambusia affinis (western mosquitofish), 619 nucleotides. RefSeq lists it as uncharacterized. The transcript has 3 exons. Lineage: Eukaryota; Metazoa; Chordata; Actinopteri; Cyprinodontiformes; Poeciliidae. The record is from RefSeq and is a predicted model, not a curated record.